UACAGAGGUGGCAAGCGUUGUUCGGAAUUACUGGGCGUAAAGGGCGCGUAGGCGGCCAACUAAGUCAGACGUGAAAUCCCUCGGCUUAACCGGGGAACUGCGUCUGAUACUGGAUGGCUUGAGUUUGGGAGAGGGAUGCGGAAUUCCAGGUGUAGCGGUGAAAUGCGUAGAUAUCUGGAGGAACACCGGUGGCGAAGGCGGCAUCCUGGACCAACACUGACGCUGAGGAGCGAAAGCCAGGGGAGCAAACGGG
This 253-nucleotide ribosomal RNA is filed under the name uncultured bacterium. Its description in RNAcentral is "partial 16S ribosomal RNA". It matches the Rfam family "Bacterial small subunit ribosomal RNA", at positions 524 to 776 of the family's 1533-position model. The record is from RNAcentral.